Molecule: ribosomal RNA, 301 nt
Filed under: uncultured bacterium
Lineage: Bacteria
Description: partial 16S ribosomal RNA
Rfam family: Bacterial small subunit ribosomal RNA
Source: RNAcentral
CAGCAGCCACGGGAAUACGAAGGGGGCUAGCGUUGUUCGGAUUUACUGGGCGUAAGGGGUGCGUAGGCGGAUUGUUAAGUCAGGGGUGAAAUCCCGAGGCUCAACCUCGGAACUGCCUUUGAUACUGGCGAUCUUGAGUCCGGGAGAGGUGAGUGGAACUGCGAGUGUAGAGGUGAAAUUCGUAGAUAUUCGCAAGAACACCGGUGGCGAAGGCGGCUCACUGGCCCGGUACUGACGCUGAGGCACGAAAGCGUGGGGAGCAAACAGGAUUAGAUACCCCCGUAGUCCCUGUCUCUUAUAC